UGACCUCGGAUCAGGUAGGGAUACCCGCUGAACUUAAGCAUAUCAAUAAGCGGAGGA
This 57-nucleotide ribosomal RNA is filed under the name Bipolaris maydis (southern corn leaf blight pathogen). RNAcentral describes it as "partial 28S ribosomal RNA". It matches the Rfam family "Eukaryotic large subunit ribosomal RNA", at positions 1 to 57 of the family's 3401-position model. RNAcentral also lists the same sequence under 230 other names. The record is from RNAcentral. Lineage: Eukaryota; Fungi; Ascomycota; Dothideomycetes; Pleosporales; Pleosporaceae.